This 27-nucleotide non-coding RNA is filed under the name Mus musculus (house mouse). The record is from RNAcentral. Lineage: Eukaryota; Metazoa; Chordata; Mammalia; Rodentia; Muridae.
UGGAAAGGUGCUGUGUGCAUUCUAUGA